Misgurnus anguillicaudatus (oriental weatherfish) is the source of this 923-nucleotide non-coding RNA. NCBI's taxonomy places the organism in Eukaryota, Metazoa, Chordata, Actinopteri, Cypriniformes, Cobitidae. The record is from RefSeq and is a predicted model, not a curated record.
AGAUAAAUAUAUAACCUUGUAUGAAAGUACCAUAUGAAAAUUAAAUGCGAAAGCAAAAAACAUUUACAAAACUCUAAGCUCAUAAAUUUAGUAAAAAAGCUGAAAUUUUCUAAGACCGCUCUCAAAAUCCCUGUUUUUUUCAACAACGCGUCAUAUUACGUAGUCAGAGGCGCUCGUCUGACAUGCUCUACAUUGGCAGUGCUGCGGUUGUAUUCAGCAAAAGCAGUCGCAAAUUGAUGUGAUUCUCCGUAGUUUCAAUUUAGCAUCGUCAUGGUUAAUAAUUGUGUUAGUGGAGGUUUUUCAAACUCCAGCCUGUCAGGACAAUGAGUCCACAGGUUUCUUUUGAAGAAUAAAGACCGCGCUAUCUUCCGUGUCUGGGUGUGUUUAGCGCAGCACGAGGAAAGAGACGAGAGACGCGACUUCAGUUCACCAUGUGCUUCAGAAAAACGCGGUGGUGUAUAGCGUUCACGUUAGAUCGGAGGAUUAUCAUCCCGGCAAUAUGAUGGAGUUAAACAUUGGAUGCCGAAGCAAGAACCACGUGAGGCCUGUGUUUUUGCCGCCGCGAGAAAACAUGAAUCGAUCACGGUCCGUCUGAGAUGCAGCUCGAAGAUAACGUGAACUAUGCACAUUGUCCAGCUACAGAUGAAGAUGCUUAGUAUGAUGAAUCAUCCUCUGUUGUCAUGGACGAACCUGGCGAUGUGUUAUGGAGGAGGAAAAAACAAAAAAGACUCAUCUGAUGAGAAACCACUGCAAGAAUCUCAUCCUGUUCACACAAGUCUGUGCAGCAUGCAUGUAUCAGCAUUUUUGGUGACCAGUGACUUCUCUUCUGAGGGGCGUGAAUUCCAAAUGUGUGUUUGUUGUGACGUGUGUGAACCAUGUGCAUCAUGCCUCUUGUCACAAUACGUGCCUGCUGCACACGCGUU